This 1308-nucleotide long non-coding RNA is filed under the name Coturnix japonica (Japanese quail). RNAcentral's name for it is "lncRNA (ENSCJPG00005010466.1)". The record is from RNAcentral. Lineage: Eukaryota; Metazoa; Chordata; Aves; Galliformes; Phasianidae.
ACAUUUAUAUAUAUAUAUGUAUAUAUCAAACGGAGAAGGGGGGUAGGGGGGGGAAAUAUUCUAAAAGAAAUGGGAGUGGGGAGGGAGAGGAAGGGUGAACCUUUGGUGUCUCUGCAGAGAGGCAGGUGGAAGAGAAAAGCUGAAAAUAAUUAAGCCGGGUUUUGAGGAAUCCUUAGGAGAGCGGAAAAACGCAGUUAAAAGCCAGCAAAGCAUUAGAUCCAAGCAAUCAAGUCUUCCUCUUCUUCUUCCCUCCCAAAAAUAUACAGCAGGGUUUCAGAGUAGCUUUCCCAGCAGUGAAGAGAGAGAACGGUCUUCUCCAGAAAGAUAUGUUUGGUUAAAAUCCACUCGUCUGCUUUUCUUUCUUUCUCUCUCUUCUCCCCCCACUUUUUUUUUUUUCUCCUUUUCCUUUUUUUUUUUAAAAUUCUGCUUCUGAAUCUCUCUCUGUGAAACUAGAUCCAGUCUUUGUAGCCAGGGGCUGCAUUAAGGAUUACAUCAGGCUUUUAUAAGCUUUCCAGAUCACACAUUAGAGUGAGAGAGAGAGAGAGAGAGAGAGAGGGGAAGGGAGGGAUGAGAGGGAGGGAUGAAACGCACACACACAUCCACACGCGCACGCACGGAUCGGAGCUUUGUAAAACAGGCGGCUAUAGGCACGGACCCGAAGUGCCACAGCAUUUGCAUCGGGCAUGCUCCGCUCGCCUAUAGGAGGAGAGGAUGGAUGGAUGGAUGGAUGGAUGGAUGGAUGGAUGGAUGGAUGGAUGGAUGGAUGGAUGGAUGGAUGGAUGGAUGGAUGGAAGGAAAGNNNNNNNNNNNNNNNNNNAAGAGCCAGAAAAUGCCGAAGCGCGUUGGCAACCGGGCAGAGCAGCCUCCCCGGGACAACUUAGCCCUAAGCAGGGAGACAGGAGGUGAAAAGGGAUCUGCGGUCAGAGGGUUUGGCAAAUUUGAUGAAUUUGUGGUUCAUGCCCACAAAACGAGAUUGUGAACUCGGCUCUGGAUUAUUACUGUUUGCUUAAACACGAUCAGUUGGAAAGAUGGAAAAGCACUCAAGUUCUGCUGCCAGAAAUAUGCUGAUGAGUUCUGCUGCCUGGCAGUGACAUUUCGAACCUCACAUGUAGUCUGCCAGCAUCUGGCUCAACCUCAGCCUCACAAGACUGAACAUAUCCUGGGGGGAAAAAACAAAACAAAACAUUAAAACACACAACUUCUGAGAAACUCCCUUUGUCGUUGUAUAUCAAGGAUUUACUUGCAUCUGCUCAAUUCUUAACCCCUGGAUUUAACAUUGCUUCCAAAUCCACUUCAUCAAGGUUGACA